GGCUAAUUAGCUCAGUCAGUUGAGUGUGGUGCUGAUAACACCAAGGUCGCAGGUUCAAUCCCUGUUCGGUCC
RNAcentral lists this transfer RNA (72 nucleotides) under Apaloderma vittatum (bar-tailed trogon). It matches the Rfam family "tRNA". From Rfam's summary of the family: Transfer RNA (tRNA) molecules are approximately 80 nucleotides in length. Their secondary structure includes four short double-helical elements and three loops (D, anti-codon, and T loops). Lineage: Eukaryota; Metazoa; Chordata; Aves; Trogoniformes; Trogonidae. The record is from Rfam by way of RNAcentral.